RNAcentral lists this ribosomal RNA (540 nucleotides) under Drupella rugosa. Its description in RNAcentral is "partial 12S ribosomal RNA". Lineage: Eukaryota; Metazoa; Mollusca; Gastropoda; Neogastropoda; Muricidae. The record is from RNAcentral.
AACCAAGAAGAUCAAAUUAUAUAUCUACGGUGAAAAAAUAGUUAAAUUUUAAUAAGUUUAUUGAAUAUUUAUACAAGAGUAAAAUCUAAAUAUAAAUAGAAAAUUCUAAUUAAGCUUAAAUAUUGAAGCUAUGAAAACCUUGAGGGAAACUGGGAUUAGAUACCCCAUUAUUCUUGGAUGUAAAAUAAUCAUAAUUUACCAGAGUACUAUGAACUAACAAUUUAAAACUUAAAGGGCUUGGCGGUGUUUUAGACCUCUUAGGGGAACCUGUCUCAUAAUCGACAGUCCACGCUAAACCUGACCUUUUUUUGUACUCAAUUUGUAUACCGUCGUCGUCAGGUAACUUUUUAGAAAAUAGAAGUUAGCAACUAAAUAAUAAUAAAUUCGUACGUCAGAUCAAGGUGCAGUUAAUAAAAAGGAGAGGAUGGGUUACAAUUAUAUAAUUAUAAUUACGAAAAUCUUUUUGAAAUAAAAUUAUGAAGGAGGACUUGAAAGUAAGAUAAAACAUAUAAACAUUCUGAAUCAGGCUCUGAAACGUGC